Molecule: transfer RNA, 74 nt
Filed under: Bacteroides sp.
Lineage: Bacteria; Pseudomonadati; Bacteroidota; Bacteroidia; Bacteroidales; Bacteroidaceae
Description: tRNA-Ala
Rfam family: tRNA
About the family: Transfer RNA (tRNA) molecules are approximately 80 nucleotides in length. Their secondary structure includes four short double-helical elements and three loops (D, anti-codon, and T loops).
Source: RNAcentral
GGAGGGGUAGUUCAGACGGAGAGAACAGCGGGCGCGCAACCCGAAGACGCAGGUUCGAGUCCUGCCCCCCUUCA